AGUUUUAUAUUCAUUAUUAAUGAUAUUAGAUUGCAAUUCUAAAGGAAUAACUAAGGUUAUUAAAGCUU
RNAcentral lists this transfer RNA (68 nucleotides) under Platycheirus fulviventris. Its description in RNAcentral is "tRNA-Cys". Lineage: Eukaryota; Metazoa; Arthropoda; Insecta; Diptera; Syrphidae. The record is from RNAcentral.